UUAAUACUCCCUCCGUCGGGAAAUACUUGUCCUAGAAAUGGAUGUAUCUAAACUUAUUUUAGUUAUAGAUACAUCCAAUUUAUCCAUUCUUAGAACAAAAAUUUCCCGCCAGUCGGAGAGGGAGUACCUA
Non-coding RNA from Triticum aestivum (bread wheat), 130 nucleotides. The record is from Rfam. Lineage: Eukaryota; Viridiplantae; Streptophyta; Magnoliopsida; Poales; Poaceae.